AUUGAACGCUGGCGGCAUGCUUUACACAUGCAAGUCGAACGGCAGCGGGGAGGAGCUUGCUUCUCCGCCGGCGAGUGGCGAACGGGUGAGUAAUACAUCGGAACGUGUCGAGAAGAGGGGGAUAACCACCCGAAAGGGUGGCUAAUACCGCAUAAAUUCUGAGGAAGAAAGCUGGGGACCUAGGAAUAGGCCUAGCGCUUUUUGAGCGGCCGAUGUCGGAUUAGCUAGUUGGUGAGGUAAAGGCUCACCAAGGCGAAGAUCUGUAGCGGGUCUGAGAGGAUGAUCCGCCACACUGGGACUGAGACACGGCCCAGACUCCUACGGGAGGCAGCAGUGGGGAAUUUUGGACAAUGGGGGCAACCCUGAUCCAGCCAUGCCGCGUGUAUGAAGAAGGCCUUAGGGUUGUAAAGUACUUUUGUUAGGGAAGAAAAGUCAGCUGUGAAUAAUGGCUGAUACUGACGGUACCUAAAGAAUAAGCACCGGCUAACUACGUG
Molecule: ribosomal RNA, 494 nt
Filed under: uncultured bacterium
Lineage: Bacteria
Description: partial 16S ribosomal RNA
Rfam family: Bacterial small subunit ribosomal RNA
Source: RNAcentral